CUGAAAUUAAAUGAAACUUCAAAAAUAAAAUUUUAUCUGAGGAUGAGGAGGCUUUUGCAGAGCUGCUGGGUAUAAAGGUACCCAAGCUAAGCUAGCUGGUGAACGACCAAUCCAUCUUUGAUGCUGGCAUCAGCCAAAUCUCUUUUCAGGAUGAGUUUGAUAUCAAUUACUGUUCUCCAUUCUUUCCUUCUAUUCCUCUCCUUUUUUUUUACAAUUUUUUUUUGUUGUAAUAAUCAUGAAGUUUGAUCCCAAGAGGUUGGC
This 261-nucleotide long non-coding RNA is filed under the name Elaeis guineensis (African oil palm). RNAcentral's name for it is "long non-coding RNA (EGUI_LNC016750)". Lineage: Eukaryota; Viridiplantae; Streptophyta; Magnoliopsida; Arecales; Arecaceae. The record is from RNAcentral.